This 253-nucleotide ribosomal RNA is filed under the name uncultured bacterium. RNAcentral describes it as "partial 16S ribosomal RNA". It matches the Rfam family "Bacterial small subunit ribosomal RNA", at positions 524 to 776 of the family's 1533-position model. The record is from RNAcentral.
UACAGAGGUCCCAAGCGUUGUUCGGAAUUACUGGGCGUAAAGGGCUCGUAGGUGGCCAACUAAGUCAGACGUGAAAUCCCUCGGCUUAACCGGGGAACUGCGUCUGAUACUGGAUGGCUAGAGAUUGGGAGAGGGAUGCGGAAUUCCAGGUGUAGCGGUGAAAUGCGCAGAUAUCAGGAGGAACACCGGUGGCGAAGGCGGUUCUCUGGGCAUUACCUGACGCUGAGGAGCGAAAGUGUGGGGAGCGAACAGG